GCCAGGUGUGGUGGUGUACUCCUGUAAUCCCAGUGACUUGGGAGGCUAAGACAAGAGGAUUGCAAGUUCAAGGUCAGCCUUAGCCACUUAUCGAGGCCCUGAGCCACUUAGUGAGACCCUGUCUCGA
RNAcentral lists this small RNA (127 nucleotides) under Marmota monax (woodchuck). The record is from RNAcentral. Lineage: Eukaryota; Metazoa; Chordata; Mammalia; Rodentia; Sciuridae.